GUAGUCGGAUUCGCAUCAAUCUACAUGUGUUGGAGUGGAACUUGAACUAAAUUUCACCACAAUCCACUCAAACACAUGUGGAUUGAGGUGAAUCCGACA
Molecule: microRNA precursor, 99 nt
Filed under: Sorghum bicolor (sorghum)
Lineage: Eukaryota; Viridiplantae; Streptophyta; Magnoliopsida; Poales; Poaceae
Description: MIR5565 microRNA precursor family
Rfam family: MIR5565 microRNA precursor family
Source: Rfam by way of RNAcentral